This 268-nucleotide ribosomal RNA is filed under the name uncultured Atopobium sp. Its description in RNAcentral is "partial 16S ribosomal RNA". It matches the Rfam family "Bacterial small subunit ribosomal RNA", at positions 88 to 355 of the family's 1533-position model. The record is from RNAcentral. Lineage: Bacteria; Bacillati; Actinomycetota; Coriobacteriia; Coriobacteriales; Atopobiaceae.
GUAUAAAGUGGCGAACGGCUGAGUAACACGUGGGCAACCUGCCCUUUGCACUGGGAUAGCCUCGGGAAACCGAGGUUAAUACCGGAUACUCCAUAUUUGUCGCAUGGCGAAUAUGGGAAAGCUCCGGCGGCAAAGGAUGGGCCCGCGGCCUGUUAGCUAGUUGGUGGGGUAGUGGCCUACCAAGGCAAUGAUGGGUAGCCGGGUUGAGAGACCGACCGGCCAGAUUGGGACUGAGACACGGCCCAGACUCCUACGGGAGGCAGCAGUA